GGUGUUCUGCGCUUCUCGAUAGGAAAUAACAUAUUCCUGAGACCUUAUUGAUUCCCAAGGGAGCUGUCCCUGAAAAGGCUCGUGGGCUUUUUCACACGGCACCCACCUAGUAGCCUAGGUCCUCGGAAUCAAACUUUUCCAUCGGUCGUUGCGGUUCACCA
This 161-nucleotide non-coding RNA is filed under the name Bartonella schoenbuchensis R1. RNAcentral's name for it is "6S". It matches the Rfam family "6S / SsrS RNA". From Rfam's summary of the family: E. coli 6S RNA was the first non coding RNA to be sequenced, but its function was unknown until recently. It consists of 184 nucleotides that fold into an extended hairpin structure with a large single-stranded internal bulge. The record is from RNAcentral. Lineage: Bacteria; Pseudomonadati; Pseudomonadota; Alphaproteobacteria; Hyphomicrobiales; Bartonellaceae.